This 396-nucleotide ribosomal RNA is filed under the name uncultured bacterium. RNAcentral describes it as "bacterial SSU rRNA". It matches the Rfam family "Bacterial small subunit ribosomal RNA", at positions 355 to 767 of the family's 1533-position model. The record is from RNAcentral.
UGAGGGAUAUUGGUCAAUGGGCGCAAGCCUGAACCAGCGACGCCGCGUGGGUGAAGAAGGUCUUCGGAUCGUAAAGCCCUUUUCCCACUGAAGAGGAAGGACGGUAGGUGGGGAAGAAGUCUCGGCUAACUACGUGCCAGCAGCCGCGGUAAAACGUAGGAGACAAGCGUUAUCCGGAGUUACUGGGCGUAAAGGGCGUGCAGGUGGCGUCUUAAGUCUGUUGUGAAAGCGCCUGGCUUAACCGGGCGAGGCCAAUGGAGACUGAGAGGCUGGAGGACGGCGGAGGGGUGUGGAAUUCCGGGUGUAGUGGUGAAAUGCGUAGAGAUCCGGAGGAACACCAGAGGCGAAGGCGGCACUCUAAGCCGUACCUGACACUGAGACGCGACAGCACGGGGA